This 5480-nucleotide long non-coding RNA is filed under the name Sus scrofa (pig). Its description in RNAcentral is "lncRNA (ENSSSCG00025041153.1)". The record is from RNAcentral. Lineage: Eukaryota; Metazoa; Chordata; Mammalia; Artiodactyla; Suidae.
GAGUGAUUCCUGGGCAGAAUUCCUGGUUAGGCCUCCUCCUCCAAAAGCCCAUGUUGACCUUGCUCGUUGACUGGUAACUUGACAUUUGUCUUUGACUUUCCUCUCAACCUCAGUUUUCCUCUUCAAAACCAGUGAGGAGUCCAGGUCUUGAAGCCCACAAACACCAGAGUGAUCUGGAAUUGCCAUUUAAAGGAAAACAAAAAAAGAAAAGAUAAUAGGAUCGAUGCUGCAGGUUGUAUUUCCUGGGCUGGGAUACCGGGGACCGUCUGAACAAUGCGUCUAUUUUCUGUGCAUCCCUUUGUUCCUCUUGCUGGGAGCCUCGAGUGCUAACAAAGCAGACUGGAAAUUAAAGGAAACACAUCACACAGCUUUAAAAAUCGCAUCUUCCAUGGCAGGACAGGAGUUAAAGCUUGAAAUUUUUUUUUCCACUGUAUGUACCAAAUUUGGCCUGUGAUCCCUUUGAAUGGCAUGAAAAGCUGCCGGCUGGGUGUCAGUCUCCUUUCCUCGCUUCCUUUCUCACUUUUAAAAUAUGCCUGGCAAAGACUCAGCCCCCACCCCCCCACUCCCGCUUUAAUCCAUUUUGCCCUCCUGUUCAGCUGACUAAGAUUCCAAAUGAGAAAAAGCUUUCCUUCCCAAUUGUUAAGAGGGCUUUUGCACCAGGAGAAAAUAUUCGGUACAUAUGCAGGCCCUGAAGAACACAUUUGGUUUUUCCUUUUACUGAGCAGGUUUAGCAACUGUCUCUUCAGAGACCCUGUAGAUUUUUUUUUUUUUUUUAGUUUCUAUAAUAGUGAUUCUCCAAUCAUUGACAAAGCACCAAAACAUCUAUCUUUGUUCAUGGGCUUUUCAUUGUAUCUGGUGUUGGGAACCAAACACGAAAGCUCUUGAAAUUCCAUUAAAGUUACAUUCAUUUAUUAAAAAAAAAAAAAAAAAAAAAAAAAAGUCUGUUUAAAAGAAAGAUCACAUAGAGAUGUGCCCAAAUUUUACAAAACACCUGCUUUGGUGCUUCUGAACGUUAUCAAAGUUACCAACACUUCAAAAUGCAAUCAACUUACCAGUCUGAAAGACAAGGGGGCUGCCUGGCUACUGGAAGAUACAGGCAUCCUUUCAUCACACUUCUGCUUUGUGGAAAAAGCAGCCUCCAAUGGGGCUUUUUAUGUUUGGCUUAAACACCUAAGACAGUAAAAAAUGCUUUAGGAACAUUUCAGUAAAUGCAUUAUGGUGCCUAGUUGUCUUCUACUCUUAUUAAAGGUUCUUCCAGCUGGUCCAAGAAUUAGAUAAACCUGAGAGAGAUUCAUGGGAGAAAAUAAAAUGUAAUUUCGCGCAUAGGGGAACCCCACAGACAUGAGAGAGGGUCAGAGACGGACAGGUGUAGUGAGGCGUGGAUAGGGCGCUGCAGCUUCCAAAGACAGAAGGGUCAUUCACAAGAUGAGAAGGCCAGAUGUCUGGUCAUUAGAUGUUUGUCCCGCCAUAUGGAUGGGGCCACUUAGAUACAACUUAUCUCUGGUAAUAUCCAUUUUUUAGGUGUCUUGUUAGUGCUUUUGUUUUUCCGCCACGCCCAUGGCUUGCAGAAGUUCUGGGGCCCAAGAUUGAACCUGUGCUACUGCAGCAACAAUGCCGAUCCUUAACCCCCGGUGACACCACGGGACUCCAUAAGAAUUUUUCUCAGAAGAGUCCCCCAUUUAAAUUCUUCUCGGUAGUUGAGGGAGGAGCAGUAGUUUCUCCUUAGCCCAUGGAGUCUCAAUUGCCUUUAACUCAAAAUAAUCCGGCCCCGUGGGUUAAAGAUCCAGCACUGCCGCAGCUGUGGCGUAGGUUGCAGAGCUGUGUCUUGGAUUCCGUCCCUGGCCGGGGAGCUUCCUACCCGCCGCAGGUGUGACCGAAAAAGAAACAAAAAAGUGGCACAGCUUAGGGAGGCCUGUUCCAAACCCCUGACACCGUCAGUGACAUCAGAAUGCCUUUCCAGGUCUCCAAAAAUGGAAAAGAAUCAUCUGCAAUGUUUCUCUUUUGAUUUAAAAUCAAAAGUCCAUCUAGCAUAAGUUUGCCAGGUUUACCAAAUUAAAACACAGGAAGUAAAGUGUAAAUUCAGAUAAAAAGCAAAUCAUUUUUUAGUAUACGUAAGCCUCCUGCAAAAUCGGGGGGUGGGGCACUAAAAAUGUCCUUAUUGUGUCCCUAAAAGCCAACCUUAACAGAGUGCGCUGUAUUUAUCUGGCAACGCUUGUCUGGCAUCAUUGCUACAAAAACGAUGCAAAGCUGGAUUCGAUUUCUAGGGUCAGGAACAAAAGCUGGAGUUUCUGAGUUCAUUCCACAUGCCAGCUUUAAGACCGGCAUAUCACCCAGACCUGGGAAGCUUCUGCUACAGAAGUAGGAGGUAUUUCUAACUACUCGUUUCAGUUUCUUAAAGGGAGACCUUACCCAUUAGAGGAGAAGGAAAGAGCUGGCAAAUAAGAUAGACGAAACAUCUGGGACAAACAGAAGGGGAGAGAAUCUUUAUCAGGCAGUAACCGCAUUAGGACUGAGUAAGCUUGAAGCGAGACUUGCUAAAAGAAAAACAGAUGAGGAUAAUCAGAUUUCCAGGAAUCAGAGAGUAGAGACAGAGCGAGGAAAAGGGAAUCUGCAAGACAUAGAGCAUGGAAUUAAGCUACUGGAUAUUUAAGAAAACACUUGUUCCUCAAGAUGUUAAGAAAGAGACGAGCAAAGUCUUCAGCCAGUUUUGGAUUCAAUACAACCUUUCAAAAAUCAUUUAUCUCCCUCACUUUGAAAUACUUUCAGGAAGUGGAUUUCAAAGCGUGUCCCCUGGGACGCUGUGGUUUUCUAGGGCGCCUUGGGAGAGGAAGCAGGAGCCUCACGCAAACCCUCUGCUCCACCCCAACUGGAUCCCAACCCCGGUGCUACCCCUGCACAGGUGCACCCUGCCUGGUAUUCCCCUCUGUUGAGGGGUGCAGCACCCUGUCAGUCAAUCUCGUUGGUGUGGUUGAGGAUUAGCUCGGGGAGCCCCAAUCUGCACACCCACAUGACCUCCCUGCAUCAACAAAAUGGGGGUGCAACUGAUAACAAGUUAAUGUUUGUAAACUAGUUAAUCAGGAAGACCCAACAAGCUAACACACCUAAAGAAAUUAGAACAGUUCCCAGUAAAUACUUGUGAUAAACUCCCGCUACUAUCCAUUUCUGCAUUUGGACUUAGGUUAGGGUUUCAUCCAAAGGGAAGUUUCUACUGUCUUUAAAAACUGGGGGGGUAGUUCCUGUUGUGGCUCAACGGAAACGAAUCUGACUAGUGUCCAUGAGGACUCGGGUUCGAUCCCUGGCCUCACUCAGUAGGCUAAGGAUCUGGUGUUGCCGUGAGCUGUGCUGUGGGUCACAGAUGAGGUUCAGAUCCCGUGUCGCUGUGGCUGUGGCCGGCAGCAACAGCUUGAUUUGACCCCUAGCCCGGGAACUUCCAGAUGCCGUGGGUACGGCCCUAAAAAGACCAAAAAAAAAAAUCCUUUGGAAGGACUAGUGCUUUAAAACAUUAUAUUAUUUCAUAAUCGAGGAGCCUGCUUUUGUCCUUCGGUCCUUUGACUAAAAGCCAAGUCCCUCCCCACCUUCCACCCAUUAACCCUGAACUUGGCAGGUUAAGGACCCAGUCUCCUUUCUUCUCCAGAUCUGACUCUCAGCCUCCCCAGAGGUGGGCUGACAACAUAAGGAUGACGUCAUGGUAGUGACAGAAACUAUUUCAUUAUAAUCUGUUUUUUUUUUUUCCCCCCACUAACUUUCUAAAGGGAAAAACAUUCAUUAUUGAAGCCUUUGGAAGCCUUUGGAGGCCCACUCCACACAAAUGCUAUUAUCAUCACCCACAUUUGGUGAAGUACUUGGGGAUUACGAGUGUUAUGUAAAUGUUUACACAUUAUUACUCAGUGACCCAAGAUCCGCAGUGGGACAGCAGAGACAGCCCAGGAAGAAACAUGCAGCCCCAGGGAGGCAAUGGUUUCUGUAAAAGGUAUGACAUUCCCUUGAACUUCAGCAUAACCUUGGUUGUUCUUCUGAAGAGAGUCAUUUACAGCCAUGAAGGGAAGCACUGACUGUAAAAGAGAAAGCUGAGGGUUUGCUGCACAUUUGAAGACAGAAGGGCGCCUUUGGAGAAAAGGGCGACAGGGAAAGGCUUUAAAAUGCUGUGAGGGGCACUUGGACUUGACUGGGAGAACUUCCUGACAGUAAAAGCAGCCUGCUUCCAAGAGCUGUCACCACACCUUUCCCUAUGGAGCUGCUCAGGCAGGAACAGUUUCUCUUUCUUGGUAAGUUCAGCCGAAAGACAAGAAAUUGGAACCCAUCCUCCUAGCUGACCAUUUUAGGUAGUUAAGGUCAUCGCAGAACAUUCAAUGGCACUGUGUUCUCUUUAAAUCUGUACUCUUCUUGUGGGGAACAUCUUGGUUGGUGCCAGCGUGUCUGUAACACCCCCCUCCCGCCCCCGGCCAACACUUUCUACAUUCUUUUCCACCAAGACAAAGACCCAGAUCCAGCUGUGAAGUGAUCCAUGUCUCUAGGUACCAUCAUUGUUUUGUUAGACCAGUGAGGCUGCUCUUCCAUGUGUGAUCUUCAAAUUAUCUCUGAAAAUAAAUGUAAGAAGGAGUUCCCUGGUGGUGCGGUGGGUUAAGGACCUGGUAUUCUCACUGCAGUGGCUCGGGUUGCCGCUGUGGCACAGCUUCAAUCCCUGGCCUGGAACUUCUGCACACUGGGGGCACAGCUAAAUACAUACAUAAAAAUAAAUUUUAAAAAAAUUUUAAAUGGGUAUAAGAAAAAGAGGAAUUUGAUAUAAAGAGACAACCAGGCAAAGCACAUGUGGCACAGAGAUCUCAGGAAAAUCUGAGUGACCUGAGAGGUCAUGGUCUGGAGACCACCACCCCACGUGAUUUCAGGGUCUUCUCAGGCCAGGAACUGGGGAGCACCGGGAGGAGGGGCUUCAGUUGGGCUGUCUUAGCUAGAACCUCAGAAAGCAGAAAACCAUGCUUAAGAGGCAGUGCCUAUGAAAACCAGGAAUCUGUACACUCACAAAGGACCUCCAUGAGCACACAGACGAGAGGAAAACAAUUCUGCUCUUGAAAUUUUUUCACAUCUGCUCUGUACCGUUCCAGAUGAUUCUUGAAAGGAUGUUCAGCUUUUACAGAAGGACGAAACAUACACAAGUUGAGGAGAAAGCCCACGCCCUUCUCUCUUCCCGCUUAGAAGGAUGCUACAUGUCCCCUCUCCGUGUUCUUUUAAAACACAAGGAAGAAAGGAGGGGAUUAAAAAAAAAAAAAGAAGACGAAGCAGUGUAGCAAAUUCUCUGCCAGGAAACACACAGUGAAUUCUAGCUUGUUAGCAGCCUGCUUCCAAAUUAUUUUUAAAAAACAAAUCCUAACAGUCGUGUAGUUACAGCCUCUGAGGGAAGCUCUAAGCCCGAUGCCAGUGUCCCAGAACCCAAGUCACCAAAAAAAGAAACAGAAAAAAAGAAAAAAAAAAAAAAAAAAAAA